CGCCCACUCAGAGCCCCGCUCCCGGCGGGGAGGGGGCGCCGGAACUCAGUUCUCUCUAGAGCGCCCAGCCUAGCAGCGGCGCUCACGGGCAUGAAGGAGUUAAACGGUUAAUCCGAUCAGGAAGAAGACACCCGACUGGUUGCCCGAGUGUCAGUCAGUCCGUCCAUCAUGGCGGGGGCGGAGUCGGGAGCGGGCCUGUCCUCGCCUCUACCCCUAGCCCGCGGGAGCUUUUGGGGAGUGGUCCUAGUGCCACACGAGCGGUUCCUGGAGCGGGCAGUGGCGGUGUGCCGGGACUCUCCUGUCCGUGGGUCGGAGGAAGGUGACGAUGCGUUCCCCGGGCGGGAUGUGAGCGCACGUGGCCCCUCCGAGGGUUGUCUGUUUUCGAUGUCGGCUUGAAGUGUGUGUGUGCACGUGGUUGGCUGCUACUGUCUGCCUGUUUCUCUGUCUUUCGCUGUGUGUGUAUCUUGUGUAUAUGCGGGUGAAGGAUGUGUGCGCACGUGUGCUGUCUGUUUGGAGAAAGGACGCCUCUGCAGGGUCUUUUCUCGUGGCCCGGGGGCUGCGUAUGUAUUCCCACGAGCAUGGGUGUGUAUUGUGGUCCGUGCGUGCUUGCCGAGUUGUGCACACAAUUCUUCCCCCGUAGUCUGACUGUGGUACCUGAGGGCGUAUAUGGGUGUUUUGUGUUUGUGUGUGGUCGGCCUGGGCCUCUUUGGGAUGUUUCUGGGGUGUGUCCCUUUAGUCCCCGUGUGGUUUCAGGAGGGCACCCUGUGUGGAUACUCCGGCUGCCCACCCACCGCUCGAUGUACCAGUACGGCUGUCUCUUCUAAAGCGGUUCUACUGGAAGUAAACUGAGGCAGAUCCUCAGUAGCCGCGAGGCGCACCCCGUGCCCUUUUCAGGCGAGUAAACAGCUGAGUCUCGUCCCCCCGGCCCCCGCGGGCAGAACCCCCCUUCUGGCACCUAAAUCGGGAGUUGCCGUGACUCACGCUCCCGCCUCCCCCAGCGCCGCGCCGAGCAAGCGAGCACAGAGGGAGCGGGAUCCGAGCGCGCCCCCAUCCCCCCGGGCCCCGACCGAGCCCCAGUGGCUGCUGGGUUGGGGGUGUUCACGCGCCCCCGUGCCCCGCCCCCAAGGCGGAUCCUCGCUCAAACCCGAAAAGGUUUUUUGGGGCUGGUUGCAAGGACCAGACCCUCGCCCCCGGUGCGCCCCUUCUCACGGGCUCCCCAGGGCAGGCAGUGCCGUCUGCCAAUCCCCUCCCCCUCCCCCGAGCUGUUCUUAUUUAAAAAGAAAAGAAAAGAAAAAAAAUCCUUCCCGUUUCCAACCUCCACAGCCACUUUUCUCCCCGCCAGAGGGGGCUCCGGGCGUAGGCGAACGCGGAGCAAGAACCGGCCCCCUAUCAGCAGCCGCGGGGUAUCCCAGAAGCCAGAACUGUGUUCCCCACUUCUUUCAGCAACCUCCCCCCAAGGCUUCUAAGGGAUUUGUAAGGGCUGCGGGUCCUUCUCAGAUAAUUUGAGGGUCCUGAGAUGGGCCAAAUUCUUGGGUGUAGGUGGGGUUUGUGGCCUUUCACCAGAGCGCCUGAUGGAGGAUGGGUAACGCGGGGAGUGGGGGCCAGGUCACAACUGGGGUUUCAGAAGAAAAAGAGGACAGGGCAGUGGGCCAGGGCUGGUAUUUGGAGCUCUGAUGAGCCCUGAGCUGGAUCAAGCUGGACCUGAACCAAAUGGAGGCUAGAGGAAUGGGGGAGGGGAAAUACACCUCCGUUGGCCGCAGGGAAAAUUAGUCACUUCUCCCCCUAUCUGGAAAUAAGCCCUAUCAAGACCUAACCAGGGACCCUGAAGCCCUCCAAUUUAGUAGAUGGGGAGGGGGGUCCUGGGGCUGCAGAGAGCAGAGGCCAGGGGAUGCGGAAGGGGGUAGGGGCAGGCCAGCAGGCAGGCACAGCUCAGCUCUUUGGCUUUCCCACUCAUCCUUGGUCCAAGGGAGUGGAGCUUUGGGGGUGCCCUGGGAGGUUCCAAGACGAAAAAUAGGUAGAAAAUACAGUGUAAAGCUAGAGCUCUCAGAUGUUACUCACAUCUCCACAGAAGAAAGAAAAAAUUCGAGCCCCAGCCUCCUUCUAGAUCCCACUAUCCCCUUUUAAAUUGUGGGAGAUCAGAAUCUUCCCAUUAGGGGAAACAGAGCUAAGUGCCCCACAGACUGGUCACAGACCUGUUCCUCAGCUUGUCUCAGCUCUGCAUUUGGGGGGCAACCUAGGGUACUGAAAAGCUGAAACCCAUUUCCUCUGUCCUGCCUUUUGCUGACUCAGGCAGCUUGGAAAAUGGGAAAAGGGGUUUCCCAGCGACUCUAAAGGGUGCCUGGAGGAGAGCUGUCACAGCCCGACCCACCAGAGUACAGAAGUUUCAGCUAGUUUUGUAAAGCGCAGGGAGCCCAGUUGGCCUUGUUCUUCCACCCCACCUCCCAGUCUGGUCCCGCUCCUGCCUACCUGUUGGCCUCUGCCCCGGUGAUGGAUAUCCGUGGUGGGAUCAGAAGCGGCAGCGUAGUGGGCCGUGAUGGUAGUGGGACCCCAGGGUCGGAGGGCUCCGGUUCGGCCCAGCCCAGCCCAGGACCAGAUGAGAGGCGGCGGCGAGGACGACGCAGGUCAGCCCCUAACAUGUUGGCUCUGCCCGACUCAGGGGUCUCCCGGGGCCUCUGUGGAGGGACACCGGUGGGAUGGGGGUGUGGCCUAGACUGCAAAAACUGAGACCCUCCCUCCAGGAACACUCCCACUAAGCCACCUGAGCGGUAGCUGAUGGAGGUAUAGGGUAUAGCUCCUGUGUCCUCCUCGUGUCUGAGCCUCUCACCCCUUGAGCCACAGUAUCUUCCGGGCCACUUUUGGAUUCCCAGCCCUGGGCUCUGGGCCUCGCAUCUCAACCAUCUUUCUCUCUUGUGAGACUCUGAUAAGACAUCCUUUUAGGGUCUCUUCCCACCCUCCGCGUAUAAGAGGCCCCUUCUUGGCCUAAUGUUCUUGGCCCUCUCAGCUCCUCCAUAUCUGAGACUCUCAAGAUCCCAGCCCUGUGCCCCUCCACCUUCUGGCCCAAAUCCUUCCCCCCAUUUGGGAAGCUCCAAGAAGGUCCUCUACCCGCGUGCUGAAUGUCUCUUAAUCUGGGCAGCAGGAGAAAAGUGGAGUCAAGGGAGUAAACUGAGGCAUAGGGGAUGCGACUCCAGAAGAAGCUCAGGAAACAGCCGUGGUCAACAGAGGCCGCCUCCCUCCCACUCCCCUGUCGCAGCCUAAGCUUCGCCUUCAGCCCAGGCCCCGCUUCUCGCACCUCGUCCCGGGUCCCGGCCACAGACAGGACACUGCGACUCCUCUUCAUCCCUCCAACCUAGCGUGUCGUGGGGGCUUCGGGGGACAUGUGGGCCGAGGUCAUGGCCACCUGCAGGACCAAGGGAAGGAUCCGCCAUUAGCUUCCCGGGGCUCCCCCUGCCGGCCAGGCCAGGAACCCGCCCCUCGCCUAUUGCCUCUCUCGAGGCGUGACGUCAGCAGGCUGCUGACGCACUGCCAUUCAGUGACGUCGCCAACCGGUUGUCAGAAGGACAGCUGACGCACGGCCGGGCUCUGGGCAGCGUCAAUGCGCGGUAUGGCCACUGGGGGGCCUGGAGGCUCGCGGCCCAGCCGCCCCAGCCCCCACCCUUCUUCCCGCGGGGGCUUCCCCGCCCGGGGAUCCCACAGAGAAGUCUG
RNAcentral lists this long non-coding RNA (3702 nucleotides) under Marmota monax (woodchuck). The record is from RNAcentral. Lineage: Eukaryota; Metazoa; Chordata; Mammalia; Rodentia; Sciuridae.